CCUACGGGUGGCUGCAGUGGGGAAUAUUGCACAAUGGGGGAAACCCUGAUGCAGCGACGCCGCGUGAGUGAAGAAGUCUUUCGGUAUGUAAAGCUCUAUCAGCAGGGAAGAAAAUGACGGUACCUGAUUAAUAAGCCCCGGCUAACUACGUGCCAGCAGCCGCGGUAAGACGUAGGGGGCGAGCGUUAUCCGGAUUUACUGGGUGUAAAGGGAGCGUAGACGGGAGCACAAGUCAGUAGUGAAAUGGCGGGGCUUAACCGUGGAACUGCAUUGGAAAAUGUGCAGCUAGAGUGCAGGAGAGGUAAGUGGAAUUCCUAGUGUAGCGGUGAAAUGCGUAGAUAUUAGGAGGAACACCAGUGGCGAAGGCGGCUUACUGGACUGUAACUGACGUUGAGGCUCGAAAGCGUGGGGAGCAAACAGGAUUAGAUACCCGUGUAGUC
RNAcentral lists this ribosomal RNA (440 nucleotides) under uncultured bacterium. RNAcentral describes it as "partial 16S ribosomal RNA". It matches the Rfam family "Bacterial small subunit ribosomal RNA", at positions 338 to 795 of the family's 1533-position model. The record is from RNAcentral.